This 484-nucleotide ribosomal RNA is filed under the name uncultured bacterium. RNAcentral describes it as "partial 16S ribosomal RNA". It matches the Rfam family "Bacterial small subunit ribosomal RNA", at positions 30 to 507 of the family's 1533-position model. The record is from RNAcentral.
AUUGAACGCUAGCGGGAUGCUUUACACAUGCAAGUCGAACGGCAGCGCGGACUUCGGUCUGGCGGCGAGUGGCGAACGGGUGAGUAAUGUAUCGGAACGUGCCCAGUAGCGGGGGAUAACUACGCGAAAGCGUAGCUAAUACCGCAUACGCCCUACGGGGGAAAGCAGGGGAUGGUAAGACCUUGCACUAUUGGAGCGGCCGAUAUCGGAUUAGCUAGUUGGUGAGGUAACGGCUCACCAAGGCGACGAUCCGUAGCUGGUUUGAGAGGACGACCAGCCACACUGGGACUGAGACACGGCCCAGACUCCUACGGGAGGCAGCAGUGGGGAAUUUUGGACAAUGGGGGCAACCCUGAUCCAGCCAUCCCGCGUGUGCGAUGAAGGCCUUCGGGUUGUAAAGCACUUUUGGCAGGAAAGAAACGUCGCGGGCUAAUACCCCGUGGAACUGACGGUACCUGCAGAAUAAGCACCGGCUAACUACGUG